AUAUCUUUUUCCUCUCUCCCCUCUCUCACGCGUGCGACACCCCUCUCUCCAUCUUUUUCUUCUUCUCUUUCCUGUACCCUAACCCAGCCGACCAUCAUCUUCUCCCCUUCCCUUGCCGUUCAGAUCCAUGGCCUCCGCCCACCGCCGCGUGACCCUCUGCCCAGCCCCGCCGCGUGACCUCUGUCUCCGUCGAAGCCAAGUCCAGCCGUCGUCCAUUCCUUUCCUCUCUUCUUCUCCGUUCGUGAAGCCCAGUCGCCGCGUCAGAUCGUCGAUCGAUUUUGAGGCAGCGCGCACGCCUCCUUCUAGCCGCGCGUUUCCUCUUCUUCCAGCAACGUGUUUUUUCUUCUAACCGCGAUUCACAAACCGACGUACACUCUAAUCUGUUUGCACGAUGGUUUUUGUUUAGAAUCGAUUGCCGCUGCCCCUAUUUUUACUGAGAUCCGUCGAAGUAUUGUUGGUAAGAUUGAAGUUAUGAAAUUGUAGUCGUUUUCAAAACAAUUUAAGUAUGGGUUGUGAUGUUUUCAAGGUGUUCAAACGUUACGGAUGGGUUAAUUGACUAAUUUGAUAAAUUAUUCUUGAAGGUGUGAAAGGUAACCUUGGAUCACUUAAAUUCACAACCAAUUUGUGAAUUUUGAUUUCGGUUUGCCCUUAUUUGGAUUGUUUCGUGGACGAUAGUUGAUUAAGGGAGCUUCCCUAACUUUGAGGCAAAGGUAAUAAAGGCAGCAAACCGGCGAGGGGCAGGAAGGAAGCGUGACCGCCACAGGGGACACUUUAAAAUUUUGCUUCCGCUUAGUGAUUUAUAGUAUUAUUUGUAUUCGAACGUGAGACUGUUUAGAAAAUUUUGAAGUUUUAAAGUAUUCAAAGAUUUGAAACUUUUUAGUUUUAAA
This is a long non-coding RNA of Cucumis sativus (cucumber), 887 nucleotides long. RefSeq lists it as uncharacterized. The record is from RefSeq and is a predicted model, not a curated record. NCBI's taxonomy places the organism in Eukaryota, Viridiplantae, Streptophyta, Magnoliopsida, Cucurbitales, Cucurbitaceae. The transcript has 2 exons.